UCUACACUCAACUGUUUUUUUAUUUGUUCAUUAGCAUCAGGUUUUGUAGGAGUUGACAUCAACCAGCAGGACAAAGAUAAAACCUGAAGACGAGGCUGCACAUUUGUCUCCUUGUGCAAAUUGUGGAUUUGAUGUGAAAUAUGUGAACUCCUUCAAAGUCCUGCUGAUGUUUCUUCAUUUUUUGGACUGUGUUACUUCAGCUGACUCACCUCACCUCCUUUAUAUAGAAGGAGACUUCCUUGUUGUGUAUAGAAAGGAAUGAAUGACAGGCAAAGAGUGUCCCAUGAUGCACUUCAGGUUUUACAUGUUUGAAUUUCAUUUGAAUGAGAAACUGUUAUAAUUGAUGUCUUUUCACCCUUUAUUUAUGACCUUUAUUUACAUCUUCAAUGCCAGCAAAUGUUGUUGUUCCAGUUGUGCGUUAUGUGGAAAGACAAGUAAUCCGUCCAGAGACAUGAUUUUAUAAAAAUACUAAUGAUAAUUUGCUGGUGAACUAAUCCGAGUCAUGUGCUUGCAUUUCAGUCGAUGCUUCCUGGAGACGAUGACCACAUGAGGACAAUGACCACAUGAGGACGAUGACCACAUGAACCCGAUAGAAAAAUGAAAAGCAUCAAAGUUGAUGGAAAUCCCCGUCAGUGUGUGUUCAUCAGUCCCGAGGAAGAAAUCCCAUCACCAUGGAGAUGGAAGUACCGACCCUGCCUGCUCUGCCCUGGACAGUGGAUUCUGCCUGACGUCUGCCUGACGCCUGCCUGCUCCCUGCCCGACGCCUGCCUGCCUCACAGUACAGACCUCAGCCAUUGAACUAUCGCUGAACUUUGUGUUAAAUAAACAUCAAUACCAACUGUG
Long non-coding RNA from Solea senegalensis (Senegalese sole), 843 nucleotides. RefSeq lists it as uncharacterized. The transcript is spliced from 2 exons. The record is from RefSeq and is a predicted model, not a curated record. NCBI's taxonomy places the organism in Eukaryota, Metazoa, Chordata, Actinopteri, Pleuronectiformes, Soleidae.